CGGUUUGCUACAUCGACGUCGGCUCUUCCCAUCCUGGGGGUGCAGCAGCCCCCAAGGGUGGGGCUGCCCGCCCAUUAAAGGGGAACGUGAGCUGGGUUUAGACCGUCGUGAGACAGGUCGGACUCUACCCACGGGGGGUGCAGGCCGCCUGAGGGGAAGGUGACCUCAGUACGAGAGGAACGGGUCGCCGCGGCCUCUGGUGUAGCGGUCAUCCGGUAGGGUGUAUGCCGCGUAGCUACGCCGUAGGGGGUAACCGCUGAAAGCAUCUAAGCGGGAACCCCUCCCCGAAAAGAGGCGGCCGUUCCCAGGCAUCUGCCUGGGAGGAGGGCUCCCGUAGAAGACGGGGUCGAUGGGGCGGGGGUGAAUGCCUCGAGGAG
RNAcentral lists this ribosomal RNA (377 nucleotides) under Ignisphaera aggregans. RNAcentral's name for it is "partial 23S ribosomal RNA". It matches the Rfam family "Archaeal large subunit ribosomal RNA", at positions 2583 to 2938 of the family's 2987-position model. Lineage: Archaea; Thermoproteati; Thermoproteota; Thermoprotei; Desulfurococcales; Desulfurococcaceae. The record is from RNAcentral.